This is a non-coding RNA of Peromyscus maniculatus bairdii (prairie deer mouse), 550 nucleotides long. Lineage: Eukaryota; Metazoa; Chordata; Mammalia; Rodentia; Cricetidae. The record is from RefSeq and is a predicted model, not a curated record.
AAACUGCUUGGAGAAGAGCCUGGUGUUGCGUCUUCCUUGCUGUUCGAGGCGGAUGCAACAAGUCGUGGCCCGUUCGCGGAGCCUUUACCUCCCCUGUCUCUUGAAGGCUCAGAACUCUUCGCAGUCAGGGCAGUGCACUGGUUCAGGAGACAUAGCAGAAGAUGAUGUGGGGAUCUUGUAAGAGUCAGAAGACCAGGAGAGCUGCUGUGAGAAUGUGUCUCCAUGAAAUGAAAGAGAAGCUUCACUCAUGAUACCUAAACAAUAUGGCUGCUAAAAGAAGACCUGAACAAGGAUACUACCAAUAGACAUGAUAGCAUGGAAGAGGAAAAACUCUCACAGGGCUCCACCCCUGGACAAAGAACGACAGUUCACAUAUGCUUACUGAUGCCAUGAGAAGAUGAAGGAGAGCUUUUCUUCCAGUAGGAAGGACUUGGCAGUGGAACCUCACAGACUGCAAUAUCCACAGACUGCAAACUCUACCAUUCUUACACUCAGAGUGGUCCACAUGUUCUGAGUGCAUCCAAGACCUUUUAUGCAUGAUGAAUACAGA